This 207-nucleotide unclassified non-coding RNA is filed under the name Hevea brasiliensis (rubber tree). Lineage: Eukaryota; Viridiplantae; Streptophyta; Magnoliopsida; Malpighiales; Euphorbiaceae. The record is from RNAcentral.
CUUCAUAAUCUGAAAUCCUGCAUAAAAUCAGAUUUGAAUUUGUGAUAUUGGAAGGAAAUGGGGUUCGCGGUAACAAGUUUAAUUUUUGUCGUGGUCGGAGUUAUUGCAUCCUUCGGUGCCGGAAUCUGCUGCAAUAGAGGACCUUCCACUAAUUUGUUACACCUGACAUUGAUUAUCACUGCUACAGUGUGCUGUUGGAUGAUGUGG